This 87-nucleotide transfer RNA is filed under the name Thermaceae bacterium. RNAcentral describes it as "tRNA-Leu". It matches the Rfam family "tRNA". Rfam says of the family: Transfer RNA (tRNA) molecules are approximately 80 nucleotides in length. Their secondary structure includes four short double-helical elements and three loops (D, anti-codon, and T loops). Lineage: Bacteria; Thermotogati; Deinococcota; Deinococci; Thermales; Thermaceae. The record is from RNAcentral.
GCCGGGAUGGCGGAAUUUGGUAGACGCACUCGACUCAAAAUCGAGCGGUUCGCAGCCAUGGGGGUUCGAGUCCCCCUCUCGGCACCA